CUCAGGACCUUUUGCUACCACCAAGGGUCUGCGCCAGGGGGACAGGCUUGCCUGUCUCCUAUUCAACUUGGCGCUAGAGAGGGCCAUCCGCGACUCGAGGGUGGAGACUACGGGAACCAUCUUCUAUAAGUCAACCCAGAUCCUGGCAUACGCUGAUGAUAUAGACAUCAUUGGUCUGCGGCUCUCCUAUGUAGCAGAAGCCUACCAAGGGAUUGAGCAGGCGGCAGAGAACCUCGGAUUGCAGAUAAACGAGGCAAAGACCAAACUGAUGGUGGCAACAUCAGCGGACCUACCAAUAAAUAAUCCGAAUCUACGUAGGCGUGAUGUACAGAUAGGUGAACGCACUUUUGAAGUCGUCCCACAAUUCACCUAUCGUGGGUCAAAGGUCAGCAACGACAAUAGCAUGGAAGCUGAGUUGCGCGCAAGGAUGCUGGCUGCCAACCGGUCAUUCUACAGCCUGAAAAAGCAGUUCACCUCAAAGAACCUGUCGCGACGGACGAAGCUGGGACUAUAUAGUACCUAUAUAGUACCAGUACUCACAUACGUCUCUGAGACAUGGACACUGUCCAAAUCUGACGAAGCCCUCUUAGCCGCGUUCGAGAGGAAAAUGCUCAGAAGGAUACUUGGCCCCGUAUGUGUGGAAGGACAAUGGAGGAGCCGAUAUAAUGACGAGCUAUACGAGAUGUACGGCGACCUCACUGUCGUACAGCGUAUUAAGCUCGCCAGGCUCCGGUGGGCUGGCCAUGUUGUACGCAUGGAAACGGACGACCCAGCCCGUAAAGUCUUUUUAGGCCGUCCACAAGGACAGAGGCGGCGUGGUAGGCCCAAAUUGAGGUGGCAAGAUGGCGUGGAGGCGUCCGCCAUUAAGGCCGGGAUAACGGACUGGUAGACGAAGGCGCGAGACCGUGAAGCUGGCCCUACACGCUGCAUUCAUGUAUGCGGCUACAAAUGACAGCUACACAUUUUCUUUUGUUCUAUUUGUCAAAUGUAGCUACACGACGUAGCUAUCGUUUGGGACCUUUUCAAUCCGUGUAUGUUCAGCUGUCAUAUUGUGGUUGUCAAACAUAGUUGGUUGUGUUUAUAUUAUGCGGAGAUCACUCCGGUUGUGUUUUUGCCGUGAUACACAAAGUUUCUUUUUUUACAGUGGAAAAAUGGAAAUAAAUCAACUUCUUCCAACUUUAGCGGCUGAAGUGGCUACUCUCAUGUUGAUACUCAUAGAAGAGGAAGACGAAGAACUGCAGCAAGAGGAAAAUGCACGGCGCUGCUGGAUGACCGAUCUAUUUCUGGAGAGGGAAAGCGUUUGGACCGGACUGUUUAGGGCGAUAGAUGGCGAAGGACCAAACAACCGGCUAGAAAGUUUUCUACGUGUGAAUCGCGAAGAAUUUUACUAUCUUUUAAAUCGGAUUGGUCCAAAAAUUGAGCGACAAGAUACAACGAUGCGACCUUCGAUCUGCCCGAAGCAACGAUUAUGCAUCGGGCUUCGCUUUUUAGCUUCGGGAGACUCAUAUGAAUCUCUUGCUUUUUUGUUUAGGGUUUCUAGCAGUUCCGUAUCCCGUAUUGUGCGUGAUGUUUGUACAUACAUAAUAAAUGAAUUGAAGGAAUACGUUAAGGUAUUAUUUCACUGAUUUAAUAUGGUAACAAUUCCAUACUAAUA
Anopheles coluzzii is the source of this 1654-nucleotide long non-coding RNA. RefSeq lists it as uncharacterized. Lineage: Eukaryota; Metazoa; Arthropoda; Insecta; Diptera; Culicidae. The record is from RefSeq and is a predicted model, not a curated record. The transcript has 2 exons.